GUACCUAAUUCAGCAACAGCACCACUCUCAAACAGCAAAGACUCAGGCUUGUCUCUUUUCUCAAGCAAAACCGACACCGCUUGAGUUGAGUUCAGGCGCUUGUAAACACUGAACGAUUUACUCAACACCAUUUUCAACACUGCAAUUUGUUGGAAGCAUCGUUUACCAUCGUGGACAACAAAAUCAGUGGUUUUUCAUCCCAUGCUUAGAGAAAUACCGUUAAAAAGGCAUUAUUUCUUCUUGGAAAAUUACAAGAAAAUUUCAUAAACAGGAAGGAAUAUCGUUAAUCAAGC
Paramuricea clavata is the source of this 293-nucleotide non-coding RNA. The record is from the annotation of a GenBank genome assembly. NCBI's taxonomy places the organism in Eukaryota, Metazoa, Cnidaria, Anthozoa, Malacalcyonacea, Plexauridae.